AUAGCAAGAGGCAAGAAAGGAACAGUCUGAGGUUUGAGUCUGACCCAGGACCUCUUUGUGGUCAAAAAGUGAGGGGGGAGGAAACAGGAUGAAAGGCUUGAGAGUGGCAAAAGCUUUUCAGCCCAGCCAAGGGUGCUCCAGGCAAGCGCUGGGGCACCUCUCUGGGAGAGGACCUUCACCAAGGUCAGAGAUGAACAGCAGUGUUGGGGACCUGGGUGUUGGCGCCUGCAGCCUCUGGGAUGACCCUGCUCGCUUCAUCGUGGUGCCCGCGGCCUAUGCCUUGGCACUGGGCCUGGGGCUGCCAGCCAACGUGGCGGCCCUGGCAAUGUUCAUCCGCAGCGGCGGGCGCCUGGGCCAGGCCCUGCUUCUCUACCUGUUCAACCUGGCUCUGGUUGAUGAGUUCUUCACGCUCACGCUGCAGCUGUGGCUCACCUACUACCUGGGCCUGGCCCGGAGGCCGCCUGCCACGCGGCCGGGGCCACCUACUACGUGUCCACCUAUGCGGCGGUGGUCUUCGCCGCGCUCAUCAGCGUGUGCCGCUGCGGCUUCGUACGCGGCUCCGGGCCCAGGGCGGCUGCCCGCCUGGCCCGGUGCCUACGGCGCCCCGCGCGCGCUGCCUGCGCCUUCGCCUGGCUGGGGGCCUGGCCCCUCCCUGCCUGGAGCACCGCUGGGCAAGCUCGGGGCUGGCCUCCGCCACGGUGGCCUUCGCGGCCGCCUUCCUGCUGGUGCUCGCGGCCAACGUGAGCCUGGCGCGGGCGCUCAAGGCGCCCUCUGGCCUGGGCCCGGGCCCGGGCCCGGGCCCUGCAACCGCCGGCGCGCACCGGCGCGCGGCCAAGACCAUGGUCCUGGGGUUCCUGCUGGUCUUCGCCCUCAGUCUGGCGCCCUACCACCUGCUGCUGGCGCCCUAGGUGGCUGGGGGGGAAGACAACGGAGACCGGUGUCGCGCCGCCUCCACGCUCGACAUCCUGCACACCCUCAGCCUGGCGCUGCUGAGCCUCAACAGCUGCCUGGACCCACUCAUCUGCUGCUUCUUCGUGCGCCGCUUCCACCAGGACUGCUGCUGGGCACUGAGCUGCCGCCUGGUGAAGGGGGCGCCCAGGGCGCAUGGGGCCUCCUUGGCCUCCUCUUGGAGAGUCUCCUGGCCUCCCCUCCUGUGUCACCCCCCUGUCACCCUCCCAGUGGCAUCCAGGGUGGAGAAAGCUCUUUGGAAAGACCUAGAUUCUAAUCCUGACGCAACCACAUACUACCUCUGUAGCUGUGAACCUCCGGGCUCAUCUGUACCAAGGACAUAGAACAUUCUUUGUAACCCGAAUGUUCCCUGGAUGUUGCCAGCUUUUGGAUACAAAUAAUAUACCACUGUGUUUUUUUUAAACCUCUUGGGAUAAAACCCAAAGUCCUUAUCAUGGCCUACAAGGCCCUGUCUGAUUUGGCUCCCCUUUCUCUCCAGACCUUAACCCACCACCCCUGCGUCUCCCUGCAGGCAGUCACCUUCUUAGGCCCGGGAAAAUGCCGGUCUCCUACUCUUCACGGCCUUUGUACCUGACUUGGCCAGGAAUGAUCUCUGUUCCUCUCUUUCACUAAGUUAGUUCUUCUUCACCCUCACUUCCUCUAAAGUAACUCCUUAUAGGGAAGCCUUUCUUGGCUGGCAACACACACACACACACACAUACACACACGACUGAAUCAGAUCGGAUUGCUCUUUGAUAGCUCUUUUCAUAAUUGUAAUCAAGCAAUUAAUUGGGUAAUGCGUUGUUGUUGUUUUCUUUCUCUCUUGCCAGAAUGUAUUCAUGUUGACCCAUAAGACAUUAUCAUUUUUAUAAGUCCCCAAAAGUUGAAUAUUGGAAAUUUUAUUUCCACCCAAUUCAACUUAAUAAAUUCUGUGUUUACCUUGCUCA
This 1895-nucleotide long non-coding RNA is filed under the name Pan troglodytes (chimpanzee). RNAcentral describes it as "lincRNA". Lineage: Eukaryota; Metazoa; Chordata; Mammalia; Primates; Hominidae. The record is from RNAcentral.